This 253-nucleotide unclassified non-coding RNA is filed under the name uncultured Halomonadaceae bacterium. RNAcentral's name for it is "contains 16S-23S intergenic spacer region". It matches the Rfam family "Bacterial small subunit ribosomal RNA", at positions 524 to 776 of the family's 1533-position model. Lineage: Bacteria; Pseudomonadati; Pseudomonadota; Gammaproteobacteria; Oceanospirillales; Halomonadaceae. The record is from RNAcentral.
UACGGAGGGUGCAAGCGUUAAUCGGAAUUACUGGGCGUAAAGCGCGCGUAGGCGGUCUGAUAAGCCGGUUGUGAAAGCCCCGGGCUCAACCUGGGAACGGCAUCCGGAACUGUGGGGCUAGAGUGCAGGAGAGGAAGGUAGAAUUCCCGGCGUAGCGGUGAAAGGCGUAGAGAUCGGGAGGAAUACCAGUGGCGAAGGCGGCCUUCUGGACUGACACUUACGCUGAGGUGCGAAAGCGUGGGUAGCAAACAGG